Molecule: ribosomal RNA, 520 nt
Filed under: uncultured Glomus
Lineage: Eukaryota; Fungi; Glomeromycota; Glomeromycetes; Glomerales; Glomeraceae
Description: SSU rRNA
Rfam family: Eukaryotic small subunit ribosomal RNA
Source: RNAcentral
AGCAGCCGCGGUAAUUCCAGCUCCAAUAGCGUAUAUUAAAGUUGUUGCAGUUAAAAAGCUCGUAGUUGAAUUUCGGGAUCAAUUUGUUGGUCGUACCUUGGUACGUACUGACAUUAUUGGUUUCUCCCUUCUGAGAAUCCUUGAUAUCAUUAAUUUGGUGUCUUGGGGAAUCAGGACUGUUACCCUGAAAAAAUUAGAGUGUUUAAAGCAGGCAUACGCUUGAAUACAUUAGCAUGGAAUAAUGAAAUAGGACGUUCGAUUCUAUUUUGUUGGUUUCUAGGAUCGAUGUAAUGAUUAAUAGGGAUAGUUGGGGGCAUUAGUAUUCAAUUGUCAGAGGUGAAAUUCUUGGAUUUAUUGAAGACUAACUACUGCGAAAGCAUUGCCAGGAUGUUUUCAUUAAUCAAGAACGAAAGUUAGGGAUCGAAGACGAUCAGAUACCGUCGUAGUCUUAACCAUAAACUAUGCCGACUAGGGAUCGGGAUGAUGUUUAAUUUUUAUGUACUUCAUUCGGCGCCUUACG